AUUGAACGCUGGCGGCAUGCCUUACACAUGCAAGUCGAACGGCAGCACGGGAGCAAUCCUGGUGGCGAGUGGCGAACGGGUGAGUAAUAUAUCGGAACGUGCCCGGUCGUGGGGGAUAACGUAGCGAAAGCUACGCUAAUACCGCAUACGAUCUACGGAUGAAAGCGGGGGAUCGCAAGACCUCGCGCGAUUGGAGCGGCCGAUAUCAGAUUAGGUAGUUGGUGAGGUAAAGGCUCACCAAGCCGACGAUCUGUAGCUGGUCUGAGAGGACGACCAGCCACACUGGGACUGAGACACGGCCCAGACUCCUACGGGAGGCAGCAGUGGGGAAUUUUGGACAAUGGGCGCAAGUCUGAUCCAGCAAUGCCGCGUGCAGGAUGAAGGCCUUCGGUUGGUUAAAC
RNAcentral lists this ribosomal RNA (401 nucleotides) under uncultured bacterium. RNAcentral describes it as "bacterial SSU rRNA". It matches the Rfam family "Bacterial small subunit ribosomal RNA", at positions 30 to 430 of the family's 1533-position model. The record is from RNAcentral.